ACGGGGCGCAGCAGGCGCGAACACUGUGCAAUGCGCGAAAGCGCGACACGGGGAGCUUGAGUGUCUUGGCAUAGCCAAGACUUUUCUCAUUCCUAAAAAGCAUGAGGAAUAAGUGCUGGGUAAGACGGGUGCCAGCCGCCGCGGUAACACCCGCAGCACUAGUAGUGGUCACUUUUAUUGAGCCUAAAGCGUUCGUAGCCGGUUUUGUAAAUCUUCAGAUAAAGCCUGAAGCUUAACUCCAGAAAGUCUGAAGAGACUGCAAGACUUGAGAUCGGGUGAGGUUAAACGUACUUUCAGGGUAGGGGUAAAAUCCUGUAAUCCCGGAAGGACGACCAGUGGCGAAAGCGUUUAACUAGAACGAAUCUGACGGUAAGGGACGAAGGCUAGGGUAGCAAACCGGAUUAGAUACCCGGGUAGUCCUAGCUGUAAACAUUGCCCAUUUGAUGUUGCUUUUCCGUUGAGGGAAGGCAGUGUCGGAGCGAAGGUGUUAAAUGGGCCGCUUGGGAAGUAUGGUCGCAAGACUGAAACUUAAAGGAAUUGGCGGGGGAGCACCGCAACGGGAGGAGCGUGCGGUUUAAUUGGAUUCAACGCCGGAAAACUCACCGGGAGCGACCUUUGGAUGAGAGUCAACCUGACGAACUUACUCGAUAGAAGGAGAGGUGGUGCAUGGCCGUCGUCAGCUCGUACCGUAGGGCGUUCACUUAAGUGUGAUAACGAGCGAGACCCCCAUCUCUAAUUGCCAUCUUGCCUUAGCGGGCAAAGGCACUUUAGGGGGACCGCCAGCGCUAAGCUGGAGGAAGGAGGGGUCGACGGCAGGUCAGUACGCCCCGAAUCUCCCGGGCAACACGCGCGCUACAAAGGACAGGACAAUGAGAUGCAACCUCGAAAGUGGAAGCUAACCUCGAAACCUGUUCGUAGUUAGGAUUGAGGGCUGUAACUCGCCCUCAUGAAUCUGGAUUCCGUAGUAAUCGCAGGUCAACAACCUGCGGUGAAUAUGCCCCUGCUCCUUGCACACACCGCCCGUCAAACCAUCCGAGUUGGUGUCUGAUGAGGGUAUGUCCGAAAGGGCAAACUCAAAUCUAAUGUCAGUGAGGAGGGUUAAGUCGUAACAAGGUAGCCGU
Molecule: ribosomal RNA, 1121 nt
Filed under: uncultured archaeon
Lineage: Archaea
Description: bacterial SSU rRNA
Rfam family: Archaeal small subunit ribosomal RNA
Source: RNAcentral